GUCCUCUUGGUUUUUUAAGAGGUCUGGCCUGCCCAGUGAAAUAAUUUUAACGGCCGCGGUAUUUUGACCGUGCAAAGGUAGCAUAAUCAUUAGUCUUUUAAUAGAGGGCUGGAAUGAAAGGUUUAACGAAACAUUAGCUGUCUCAUAUUUAUAAUUUAAAAUUUAAUUUUUAAGUUAAAAAGCUUAAAUUUUGUUGGAGGACGAGAAGACCCUAUAGAGUUUUAUAUUAGAAAUUUUAAUGAAGGUUUUGUUAAAUAUUUUAAAUUAAUUUUUUUAAUAUUUUGUUGGGGUGACAAAUAAAUAUGAAUAACUUUUUUAUUUUAUAUACAUAAAUUUAUGAAUAUUUGAUCCAUUAUUAUUGAUUAUUAGAUUAAAUUACCUUAGGGAUAACAGCGUAAUCUUUUUUUGGAGUUCAAAUUUACAAAAAGGCUUGCGACCUCGAUGUUGGAUUAAGAUAAUAAUUUGGUGCAGUAGCUAAAUUAAUAGGUCUGUUCGACCUUUAAAUUCUUACAUGAUCUGAGUUCAGACCGG
This 531-nucleotide ribosomal RNA is filed under the name Copera marginipes. Its description in RNAcentral is "partial 16S ribosomal RNA". It matches the Rfam family "Bacterial large subunit ribosomal RNA", at positions 1829 to 2619 of the family's 2925-position model. Lineage: Eukaryota; Metazoa; Arthropoda; Insecta; Odonata; Platycnemididae. The record is from RNAcentral.